GACGAACGCUGGCGGCGUGCCUAAUACAUGCAAGUCGAACGAGAGCGACCGGUGCUUGCACUGGUCAAUCUAGUGGCGAACGGGUGAGUAACACGUGGGUAACCUGCCCAUCAGAGGGGGAUAACAUCCGGAAACGGAUGCUAAAACCGCAUAGGUCUUCGAGCCGCAUGGCUUGAAGAGGAAAAGAGGCGCAAGCUUCUGCUGAUGGAUGGACCCGCGGUGCAUUAGCUAGUUGGUGAGGUAACGGCUCACCAAGGCCGUGAUGCAUAGCCGACCUGAGAGGGUGAUCGGCCACAUUGGGACUGAGACACGGCCCAAACUCCGACGGGAGGCAGCAGUAGGGAAUCUUCCGCAAUGGACGCAAGUCUGACGGAGCAACGCCGCGUGAGUGAAGAAGGUUUUCGGAUCGUAAAACGCUGUUGUUAGAGAAGAACAAGUGCUAGAGUAACUGUUAGCGCCUUGACGGUAUCUAACCAGAAAGCCACGGCUAACUACGU
This 497-nucleotide ribosomal RNA is filed under the name uncultured bacterium. RNAcentral describes it as "partial 16S ribosomal RNA". It matches the Rfam family "Bacterial small subunit ribosomal RNA", at positions 28 to 506 of the family's 1533-position model. The record is from RNAcentral.